UGUAGAAAUAGAAAUAUCAAAUAAUUAUUAUUUAAGUUUAAUAUUUUUUUAUAAGAAAAUAGUUAUUUUGUUUUGUGCAUAAUUUUUGCGUAAUAUAUUAUAAUGACGUUACUGUGUAUCGUUGCCAUUUUUGAAACCGUGGAAAGUAAUAAAAGUUGCACGUUAUUGACUGUAGUGUGGUAUACUUACUUAGUUUUUAGAUUUUUCUAAAAAAAUUUCGGGUCCGGAUGAUUUAUAUAGUCAAUUUAUAGAAAAUAUAGACCCUGAGUGGUUAAAUCGUCUGUCUAGAAUUAUUUUAAGCCAAUUUGGUGUUACUAUGAACAAUACUGGAGGAAAAUUCAACGUUGUUUCCAUUAAAAACAAAACCAACCGUGGAUCGAAUUUUUAAUAUACAGUUUGUCCCAUAAUAAUUCAAAAGAGGUUUGCUGAAAACGAGGUGCAGAAAAUCGGAAAAUGAACAUUAUUGUGGGAUUUAUUUUUUAAAAUGUUUGUUUUUGAAGAGUUUUAAUAAAAAAAAAAAUUGUUUCGAAGGUUACAAUUUCAAUUUCAUCAUAAUUAAAGUAAUAUAAACAUGAACUUUCUCGAAAUAACUUUUCAAAUAAUUAAAUCCAUAAUAUGUACAGAGUAAUAGGUCGAAAAGUAGAAAAAAAAAUUAUUUUGAAACUAGUUUUCAAUUAAAGAAGAAUUAAAGAAAAUUUAAUGAUAUUGGAUGAUUUUCAGAUUUUCUACAGCCAAAAUCGAGGAAAACCGAAGUUUGAAUUCAAAUAAUAAUACAUUAGCUAACAAUUAUAUUUUUUUAUAUAGUUUUCACCCAGUUCGACCCUGCAUUUUAUUUACAUUAUGCAAGGAAUCUCCUAAGUGACGUCACUUGACAGCUAUGGUGGAUAUCGUAAACAAAGUGCAGGGCCGGACUGACUCGGAAACCGAUAACAUUUAUACCAAAUAAAAUCUUUAAGCGGGAUUUUUUUGCGCGUAAAAAUAUAGAUUUAAAGAAAUGAUUUCCGGAUUUUUUACAGUCAAAAACGAGGAUAACUGGUACAUCCUCCAAAGGAUAAUCGAGAACGUUAUCGAUGAGGUUCAAAGGUAUAGUCGAGACUAACAGUCAAAUCAAGGUUGUUUAAGGCCUUUUGUAUUUUCAAAAAUGACAUAGCGGGUCUACCAAAAAGCUUAUGAGCGUACUACCGGUGAUUUUUUUUCCAAAAUUCACCGUAAAACGAGACUAUACUGUAAUAAAAUAACCUAGAAUUUAUAUAUAAAAACCCACGGUGGUAAUUUUUUUUUAAACGACCUUGAACUACCAUCCACCGAAGACAAAAAUAAAA
Long non-coding RNA from Diorhabda sublineata, 1322 nucleotides. RefSeq lists it as uncharacterized. The record is from RefSeq and is a predicted model, not a curated record. Lineage: Eukaryota; Metazoa; Arthropoda; Insecta; Coleoptera; Chrysomelidae. The transcript is spliced from 2 exons.